Molecule: ribosomal RNA, 484 nt
Filed under: uncultured bacterium
Lineage: Bacteria
Description: partial 16S ribosomal RNA
Rfam family: Bacterial small subunit ribosomal RNA
Source: RNAcentral
AUUGAACGCUGGCGGCAGGCCUAACACAUGCAAGUCGAGCGGAUGAAGGGAGCUUGCUCCUGGAUUCAGCGGCGGACGGGUGAGUAAUGCCUAGGAAUCUGCCUGGUAGUGGGGGAUAACGUCCGGAAACGGGCGCUAAUACCGCAUACGUCCUGAGGGAGAAAGUGGGGGAUCUUCGGACCUCACGCUAUCAGAUGAGCCUAGGUCGGAUUAGCUAGUUGGUGGGGUAAAGGCCUACCAAGGCGACGAUCCGUAACUGGUCUGAGAGGAUGAUCAGUCACACUGGAACUGAGACACGGUCCAGACUCCUACGGGAGGCAGCAGUGGGGAAUAUUGGACAAUGGGCGAAAGCCUGAUCCAGCCAUGCCGCGUGUGUGAAGAAGGUCUUCGGAUUGUAAAGCACUUUAAGUUGGGGGGAAGGGCAGUAAGAUAAUACCUUGCUGUUUUGACGUUACCAACAGAAUAAGCACCGGCUAACUUCGUG